UGGUGCAGGUCAAGCAAAAUAGAAGUACCCCAAACCGAUAUGGCAAGAGGGGAAGCUUUGUUGUUUUCCAUAUCACCUCUUGUGCCAAUAGAAGACCUGGGCAAUUCAGCCCCAGAGGUGUUUUCCAUAAGUGGAAAAGUUACAAAACCAAAUCAUGUGUAGAGGUGAAAAUCUUCCCCUGCGCGAGCUCACCGUGAUCAGUCCUAGGGGAGAAAAAAUACAACUGGCGAUGUGGAGGGAGUGCGCCCUUGUAAACAUCGGAAUCAACCAGCACUACAGCUGAAAUGCGUUGGCCUGAAGUGAUUGAGGCAAUAAAACAGCAGCAGGGUGAGGAAGUCAACUUUGAGGAGCUGGACUGGGCAGCAAAGACUGACAUCUUAAGAAGCAAUCCAGUCACAACGAUGCCCAUGUUUGACAAACGUGUGGAGGCUUUAUUCAGAGAUCUGCUCUUGUCUCCUGCUGAACCUCUUGGCAGAAUUGUUGACUGGUUUUACAGUGUAGCAAUCCACGUCUGGACUGAGGUAACCUGACCUACAUGUGAACUUAACUCCCUCCUUUGAAGAGCCCCUACGUCCCUUUCAGUCCCCAGAGAUAAGGGACCCUGAAUCUUUUUCCACAACAGGAGACUGGCUUCUAUCACCACAGGCACCAAUUGACGCCAACAUCUCAAAUGUCCAUAUCAAAGAACCAUGAGCCCACUUUGUUGAUCUACCUUUAAAUCCCUCAGGAUUCUACCUCUGCUUAUCAUGCCAAAAGGAGAGGCUGUCACAUUUAUCACCAAGAAGCUGUCUCUCCCAGAACUGGCACCACCAGCCACAAAAUGUGGAAUGUGCUCAUAAAAGAGAACGAGAGACUUCAUUUGGACAGAAGUUCUGGUUCAGACGCACCAGAGCUUUCAACUUCCAUUAAACUGAUGUCAUUGUAUUCUGUGGACAAAAUGUUUUCAUUUGAUAUUAGAUUGGUUUCUGUGUGAUGUUCAAUGCCUGAUCUACAGAUUUGCCAGGAAAUUCCUAAAGUUACAAAGGGACUUCAACUCAUCACCCUGCUUUCCUUUGUGUGUAGACACAAAGUUGAAAUAGAGAGACUCACCUUCUUUACUUCUUUUAAUCUGUGCAACAUACACAUGGACUAUUUCCACCAGCUACAAUUCGGUAUCCUCAUUAUUGUAUCACAUUUUUAAGUGUUACAAUUGUUUAAUUAGUAAUGUCCAGAUUAGGUCAUUUAUAAUUAGAUUUUGCUUGCAUUUAUUAUUCGUGUAUGUUUUAGUGUUUACUGGGUGUUGCAUAAGACAAGACCAGGCAUCAUGAAUAACAUUUCAUUUGUUACAGCGUUAUAAGGGACCAUAUAUAAGACCUUAAGAUUCUUUGCAUUUAAUGUUGCUGGUUAACCAUUCUGACUUCUCUGCUCAUUUGAGUGUCAAAGUGAUCAUUACAUGUUUAUUGUGUUAUGGUGUGAUGGAACUUUGAGCUUGAUGAAAAGAGGAAACCUUAGUUAUCCCAGAUUUAGGAGCGAUCCAAAUCAAAUAGUUUGAUUCCUGAUCUGAAGAGGUGGAACUCUUCACCACUGGUUGAAGUCAUUUCUCCGCCCUGCAGUGACCACUGCCCCAGGGGUAUUUAAACCAGGGACACCCUAGUGGAAACGGACUUCCCUCUAUCUUCAAACUUCUUUCACUUUUUUUUUUUGCAUCGCAUUACUUUUCUUUAAUUUUCCUUUGUUCUUAAAUUAAGUUAAACUUAGAAACACGAACGAACAACGAUUUUUGUAACGUUAGAAAGUCAUCAAGAAACUCUGCGAAACUGAAACUAUCACAACCAGUCCUUAAUUGACUCGCUAUUUUUGAUUGAACCAAUUAAAUUAGAUUCCAGCCCGUUUGCUUUUGGGCCAGUUUAAGUAGCGCUGACGCUUGGAAACACCUUGGAAAGUCCAGCCUGGCUGACUGUUACUUUGCUGAACCCGAGCCGUCAUCAUCAAUCUCGGGCGACGAUUCCUGGCCCAGAGGCCGUGGCACCUGGACCAGAGAGGGCACGCCUGCUCAACUAACUGGUAACGGGAGACGCUGCACAGCGGCUACAGCUCCAAACUAAGGCAAGACGAACAUCUCUAAUCCUCUGAGAAUUCUGGUGUUUCUCAAAGCCCUAAAAUUGAACAUUCCAAAUUGAUUAGUUAUCCUCAGAUUUGAAUUAGUUAGAGACAAAUAUUCUUUUCUCUUGAUCUGUCACGUCUACGGGUCACUUCCUGUUUUAUUGUAUUGCAUUUCCGGUUUCCUGCCACUCAUCAUUAGUUUCAGCCUUACUUCCGUCCCUCAUUAGACUCACCUGCUCCGCAUCAGUAAUCGCCCUCAGUAUUCUUAAGCACCACUAGCCCCAGAACACUUUGCCAGAUCGUUGAACGCCAGACUUCACUUUCCAGCAUUUAGUUACUCUGUUCGUGUGCUUUGACCCUGCUCUGUUUCUGACUCCUGAUUCUCGCCGACUCCCUAAUCUGUACUACUGCUUGGACUGCUCUGGAAUAACGAACCUGACCGCCCGACUACGAGACUGCCUACUCCCUCACGGUACUGUAAACUGCGAUCUUCUGUUACUGAACCUCUGCCUGCCCCUGGAUCCGAACCAGCCUGCCCCACCGGUACCGAAGCCCCGUGAUUGACUGUGCAUGACCCGGACUGCCUGUGAUUCUGAAUAAACUGUUUAUCCCUACGAUCUGCCUGUGUGGUCUCUGUGCUGUGCAUGUGGGUCCGAGCUCUGCCAAAACCUGACAUGAUCAAAGCCAUCACACACUCAGGUCUUGACCAUUCUGGGUCACUGGGUUUUCACUCAUUGAUUCAUUCACUGUUCAUCAUCUCAUUCUGAUCGUUCUCUCAUUUUCUAUUCUGUUUAUUUGAGUAUUUCCAUAUUAUGUUAUUCAUAUAUCCAGUAGUGUUAUAUUAAUAAAACGUUAAAGGAAUCUGGUUUUGUGUGCAUUGUUCUUCAGAUUUAAACAGAGGUCACUGAACCGUGACAAGAAUUCACGGCAUAAGAGACUGAUUUGGUUUUAUCACAAGAAAGUGGUUAUUGGUGUUCAUGAGUGGUAACUCAUUGAAUUGAUAUCUGGCAUUGACUAGAUUGACACAAGCGUGGUUUCAGCUUUAAAACAAACCUGUUGCCCCAACUUCGAGGUAUAUUAAUGUUUCUACACAGAAUAAUGUUUCUACAUUAAUAUCAAACUAUUAAUAAUUUGAAAAGUAAUUUUUCGAGAAAUUACGUGGGAGAGCUCAUCUGCUACCGCAACGAGGCCAAACGCUGAUUAAGCUGCUGACGUCAAAAAAGUUGACUACGUCCAAAAGUUGACUACGGCAAAACAAUGAAAACGAUGAAAACGUUGACAAAGAUUAAAACGAUGACAAAAGAUGGCGAUUAAAAAGACGAUGAUUAAAAAGAUGACCAAGGUCAUACUAUGACAAUAUUAAAGAGAUGACAAUGAUUCAAAAGUUGACCAAGGUAAAAAGAUGUUGACCAGAGUGCAUUGUU
Molecule: long non-coding RNA, 3506 nt
Organism: Betta splendens (Siamese fighting fish)
Lineage: Eukaryota; Metazoa; Chordata; Actinopteri; Anabantiformes; Osphronemidae
Exons: 3
Source: RefSeq, a predicted model, not a curated record